This 1986-nucleotide ribosomal RNA is filed under the name Triticum aestivum (bread wheat). RNAcentral describes it as "partial small subunit ribosomal RNA". Lineage: Eukaryota; Viridiplantae; Streptophyta; Magnoliopsida; Poales; Poaceae. The record is from RNAcentral.
AUGCUGGCAGCAGGACUAGAUCCGCUAGUGGCGUUCUGGAAGGAGUGGGGGAUCCAGAUGCUGGUGCUGCUGAGUUUAGCACUGCAGGUGAUUCUCCUCGUCACGGCGGAGAUCCGCCGUCGCAAAGAUUCGGGCGUGCUGAGGGUCGUUGUGUGGUCGGCGUACCUGCUGGCCGACACGACGGCGAUAUACACUCUUGGACACAUGUCCGUGACCAGCAGGUCGCCGGAGCAUGAGCUGGUGGCGUUCUGGGCGCCGUUUCUGCUACUGCACCUUGGUGGUCAGGACAACAUCACGGCCUACUCCAUCGAUGACAACCGGCUGUGGCUGCGCCACCUGCAGAGCUUCGUCGUGCAGGUCCUUGCGGCCGCCUAUGUCCUCUACGAGUCAUCCAUCUUCGUAGGCGGCCGCCAGACCAUGCUCGGCCAGGCCACCCUCCUCAUGUUCGUGGUUGGUGUUGUCAAGUACGGGGAGAGAGUAUGGGCACUCAUGUCUGCCAGCAGCAGUUCCCUGUCUGGGAAGAACUACAACAGUUUUGGCAGGUUGCAUUUUGAGAGACCCAAUACUACCAUUACUUCGUUGCCGGCACCAUUUCUAGCUCAUGACUUGUUGAACGUACCCAAGCAUCUGCUUAAGGGGCCGUUACCUCUUUUGGCAUUUGACUCGAAACUAGGUUAUUUUAGCUGGGAGGACAUGUACCAUGUUGCUGAGAUCCAACUCUCGUUGAUGCACGACGUCUUCUACAGCAAAGCUGAGUUGAUCCACACUUGGUACGGGUAUUGCAUCCGUGUUGCCUUCCUGCCGGCCACUGUCACCGCAUUGCUGCUGUUCCGUCGAGUAGGUGACAAAGAUGAUUUCAGCAAAGUAGAUCUCGUUGCCACUUAUGUUUUGCUCUCUGGAGCCGUCGUCCUGGAGAUCACAUCAGUGCUGAGGGCCAUGUCCUCCACCUGGAUUUGCCCGUUUUGCGAGCGCAUCCUCAAUCAAAGUUCCAUGCUUUCUAUUCCAUUGUUGUGGCUUCUUCUCCUUGUAUUUGCAUUUGGGGAGCUCGUCGGACGGGCAAUACAGAAAGUAGGAAUACUUAAGAGGUACUGGUCAGGCUCCAUGGGGCAACACAACUUUAUUUACAUGUGCAGCCACUGUAAGGAUAGCCGAAGCAGCAAAACUGCGAGAUGGAUGGGAAGGGAGGACUGGUGGAACACACUGGUUUACACGUCCUCGUCUGUCCCCGUCUCAGAAGAUUUCAGUAUGAUGUUGAAGGAACAACUAAGGGGAAGUGUAGGCGUCACCAAAGAGAAUCGAGACCACAUCCAAAACUCAAGGGGCCUGGCGGCGCUGAAGAAGAGGGGGUUGCAUGAGGAGCUGGCCUGGAGCGUGGACUCUGAGCUGGAUGAGAGCAUCCUGGUUUGGCACAUCGCCACUGAUGUCUACCUCAGCUGGUACGAGGCGGAACAUAAACGCCUGCCACCUCCUGCAAAGGUAACCCAGGAGCUCUCCAAUUACAUGAUGUUUUUGCUCGCAGCACGUCCCUACAUGCUGCCUGACAAUGCUACUCGCCAAAGGUAUAUUGAACUGUGCAACAAGGUGAUCUAUCAUCUGAAACUGCAAUACAGCUCGGCCGAGGAUUUGAUCAAGUUAAUGCAGGGCCAUGGAGAUGCUCUCAACGCUGAACAAACUCAGCCUGCCGUUGUCGAUAUGCCUGCUGCUACAACCAAAGAGAGUAGUGUAACAUUUGACAGAGCGUGUCAGCUUGGCUCGAAGCUGAUUAGCAAAGGGCUGGAAACACCUGAUGCCAUGCUUGAUCUGAUCAGCCAAGUGUGGGUGGAGAUGCUCUGCUACACGGGAUACCGAUGCAGGCCAGAUUCUCAUGCCAGACAGCUGAGCAGUGGCGGCGAGAUCACCACCGUCGUUGCCAUUUUGAUGGAAUUGUUGAAAACCGAUUUUCUGAACUUCAACAGUGGGUUGAGGACGGUGGUGACCAGAAGUUGA